ACUGGGGAGCUGAGGUGCUCGCGCCGCCGCUCUGAGCCCGAGCGCGCGCCUCUCAGGCGCCGCGGCCGGAGCUGGAGAACGCUACUGCUCCGCUCGCCUGCCCCGCUAGAUUCGGCGUUGCCCGCCCCCUGCAGCCUGUGCUGCAGCUGCCGGCCACCGGAGGGGGCGAACAACUAAACGUCAACCUGUUGUUUGUCCCGUCACCAUUUAUCAACUCAGCACCACAAGGAAGUGCGGCACCCACACGCGCUCGGAAAGUUCAGCAUGCAGGAAGUCUGGGGUGAGCUCGGCAAUUAGCACAGCGGCCCGGGCCAGCGCAGGGCGAGCGCAGGCGGCGAGAGCGCAGGGCGGCGCGGCGUCGGUCCCGGGAGCGGAACCCGGCUUUUUCUUGGAGCGACGCUGUCUCUAGUCGCUGAUCCCAAAUGCACCGGCUCAUCUUUGUCUACACUCUAGUCUGCGCAAACUUUUGCAGCUGUCGGGACACUUCUGCAACUCCGCAGAGCGCAUCCAUCAAAGCUUUGCGCAACGCCAACCUCAGGCGAGAUGAGAGCAAUCACCUCACAGACUUGUACCGAAGAGAUGAGACCAUCCAGGUGAAAGGAAACGGCUACGUGCAGAGUCCUAGAUUCCCGAACAGCUACCCCAGGAACCUGCUCCUGACAUGGCGGCUUCACUCUCAGGAGAAUACACGGAUACAGCUAGUGUUUGACAAUCAGUUUGGAUUAGAGGAAGCAGAAAAUGAUAUCUGUAGGUAUGAUUUUGUGGAAGUUGAAGAUAUAUCCGAAACCAGUACCAUUAUUAGAGGACGAUGGUGUGGACACAAGGAAGUUCCUCCAAGGAUAAAAUCAAGAACAAACCAAAUUAAAAUCACAUUCAAGUCCGAUGACUACUUUGUGGCUAAACCCGGAUUCAAGAUUUAUUAUUCUUUGCUGGAAGAUUUCCAACCCGCAGCAGCUUCAGAGACCAACUGGGAAUCCGUCACAAGCUCUAUUUCAGGGGUAUCCUAUAACUCUCCAUCAGUAACGGAUCCCACUCUGAUUGCGGAUGCUCUGGACAAAAAAAUUGCAGAAUUUGAUACUGUGGAAGAUCUGCUCAAGUACUUCAAUCCAGAGUCAUGGCAAGAAGAUCUUGAGAAUAUGUAUUUGGACACCCCUCGUUAUCGAGGCAGGUCAUACCAUGACCGGAAGUCAAAAGUUGACCUGGAUAGGCUCAAUGAUGAUGCCAAGCGUUACAGUUGCACUCCCAGGAAUUACUCGGUCAAUAUAAGAGAAGAGCUGAAGCUGGCCAACGUGGUCUUCUUUCCGCGUUGCCUCCUCGUGCAGCGCUGUGGAGGAAACUGUGGCUGUGGAACUGUCAACUGGAGGUCCUGCACAUGCAGUUCAGGGAAAACCGUGAAAAAGUAUCAUGAGGUAUUACAGUUUGAGCCUGGCCACAUCAAGAGGAGGGGCAGAGCUAAGACCAUGGCUCUGGUUGACAUCCAGUUGGAUCACCAUGAACGAUGCGAUUGUAUCUGCAGCUCAAGACCACCUCGAUAAGAGAAUGUGCACAUCCUCACAUUAAGCCUGAAAGAACCUUUAGUUUAAGGAGGGUGAGAUAAGAGACCCUUUUCCUGCCAGCAACCAAACUUACUACUAGCCUGCAAUGUAAUGAACACAAGUGGUUGCUGAGUCUCAGCCUUGGUUUGUUAAUGCCAUGGCAAGUAGAAAGCAAAUACAUUAAAGCCCACUAUGUAUCAGACAUGCUUUGAGGCUUGAAACACAAGAUUCACAACAGAGGAUAAAACGAGAGAAAGAUAUUCUAGGUAAGAUCAACAGGAAGAACAAAGGUCUCCCAGCAAAAAUGCAUAAGGUAAGUGUGGGCAGUUCAAAAAAUAUAAAGUGAUAGAAAGGAAAGAAAAGGAAACUGUAGGCAACUGAAUUUAGUAUUUUACAUUUAGGAAAGGAAGCUCCAUGAGGACCUCUGAGCACAGUGGGGGCUGUACGUGACGUAGAGCACCAGACAGAAAGUUAGAAGGUCUUGGUUGUAGAGACUAGCCUGCCACUUUCUAAACCUAUGUUUCCUCAUUUACACACUCAGAUAUGUAAGAUGUUCUGUAGGUGUCUUCUGGCAGAACAAUUAUGCAAUUCUGCAUUUUGGAAAAUGGGUCUACAGAAAGAGUAGGGAUUGGGAUAUGAGUUAUGAGGCUCCUUGAAGUUCUAGGGGUGAGACAAUAAGGAUAAAACGAGACUUCAGAGACAGGAAGGGAAGUUUGCCUCUGUGGCUGUUCAGGCUGUGCACUACAAAUCUCUAGGGGGUGCUAUUUGCAUGAACUAAGACGACAAGACCGGUUAAGAGGUUUCAAAGUUCUUUGUGAUUGGAUGGGCUGGAAGUGCAGGCUUGGAGAUCUCCUGGAGGAAGAAGUCAUGUGAGUUGGAAUAUCAAGAGAAUUACCAUGGGAAAACCAGGGAGGCAGGAAGGAGGGGUGAAUUUUGCAGGCAUGUCUCCAAGAAGAGGAGCCAGGUCUUGUAACGUUGAAAGGGAGUCAUCCUCAGUGUCAAAGCUGAAACCAUAAGAAGAUAGACGGAACCUGAAAGACCUCCAUAACCAUUAAGAGGAAAGAAGGCUAGUUUCUAAAGCUCAUAAAAAUGUGUUCUGAAAAUAUAUUAAGUACUGACUGAGGGCUAAAGGUCUAGCUCUGUGCUAAAUACAGCAGAUUCACGGGAGAAUAAACAUAUUUCCUGCCUUUAUCAAGCUAGAAAAGACAUUACAUGAAGCUAGGGAAAACUAGACACUAAACAAAUAAUUACAUAUGCAAUCCAAUACAUUUGUGAAAAGCAAAAGCAUAAUGUGUGAUGACAGUAAAAGGUGGAAUCCAGAUCAGAGGAUAAGGAAGGGUUCUGUGAGAAGAUGACGUUAGAGCAGGAACAGAAAGUUGAAUAAACGUUAGAAGCAAAGUGAAAGGAGAGUGUGACAUUAAAUGGUAGCAAUAAAAAUGAAAAAAAAAUCUAGCUAGAUUAAAGAAAUAGUUUGAAUCUUUAAUUGAUCAGAGUUGGGGAUAUAUUAGACUGAGGCAAAAGAAGAUAGAAGAUAUCAAGGGUUUUUCCAAGGCUUCUGGCAUAACAAACUUUGCAGAUAGAGGUGCCAUUUAUUAAGAUGGGGAACCUGCAAAGAGAAGGAGAUUUAGGAUAAAUUAAGAAUUCAGUGUGAGGUAUUAAUUCCAAGUGACAUUUGAUAUAUCCAGUUGGAGAUAUUAAGUAGGCAGUUAGGUCUGUGGGUCUGGAGCUAAGAAGAAGGGCCUGAGACAGAUGUAAAUUUAGAAGUCAGCAACAUACAGUGGUAUUACAAAACCCAGGAACAGUCCAGACACUUAGGGGAGGGUGAAAACUGAAAGGGGAAGAAUCACAGGGCAAUUGUGAGUAUAUAAAAAUGUUCUAAGUGCCAGAGGAAGAAAUUGUUGCAGAGAGUCUGGGUCAGUUUUAUCGACUACGGCAGAGAAAGUAUGAGAAACACCUACAGAUUUAUCGGCUCAGAAAUACUCCUUUCUAACCUCUUUUCUGAGAGAUUCCUCUUCAUCUGUAGCAGUAUUGUCCAAUAGAACUUCUUGCGAUGAUGGAGAUGUUCUAUAUCUGUUCUAAGAGAGCAGCUAAUAGCCACAUUUGGCUAUUAAGAACUGGAAGCAAGACCAGUGUGGCUGAAGAUUUUUUAAUUUUAUUUAAUUUUACUUAAUUAACAUUUAAAUAUAAAUUGCCACAUGUGACAAGUGGCUACUGUAUUAGGCUAUGCAGUUGUAGAUUUUAUUAUCACCCAGAGUUGUAGCCAGAAUAACCACUUCACAGCACCACACAUACAUACUAGCCACAGCCAGGGGCAUCUGACUCAAGCUUUCUCAGGAUGUAUGGGCCUAAGAAGAGAUUCAGACAGUCUCCUUAGUUAUUUGGAUGGCAGGAUGUGAAAAUCAAUGGCUAUUGGCAGCCAUACUCCCUGCCAUGUAGACUAAAAAUCUAGAGAAAGUCAAACUAUAAAAGAAAAGAAGGAAGAAAGACACAAACACACAGAAAGUCCUGAGGGAGUCCCUCCUUCUCAUUAGUUCUGAUGUCUGGCCAAACCCAUCUCUGGUUCUCUGAGAAUGUCACAUGGUGGAAAUGUGAGUCAGAUGAUAAGAUAUUUGGAGGGAAGAAUUGUGAUGAAAUGAAAAUGCUGAGUGAAAACCACUAUCUCAAGGAGUUGAUAGGUGAGUGAAAAGAGAGAACUACCGUUAGCCCUUUAUAUCCACAGGUUCCACAUCUAUGGAUUCAACCAACAGCAGAUCAAA
RNA transcript from Symphalangus syndactylus (siamang), 4291 nucleotides. It is a transcript of the gene named platelet derived growth factor D, with no coding region annotated. The record is from RefSeq and is a predicted model, not a curated record. NCBI's taxonomy places the organism in Eukaryota, Metazoa, Chordata, Mammalia, Primates, Hylobatidae.